CCUACGGGAGGCAGCAGUGAGGAAUAUUGGUCAAUGGGCGGGAGCCUGAACCAGCCAAGUCGCGUGAGGGAAGACGGUCCUAUGGAUUGUAAACCUCUUUAGGCGGGGAGCAAUGCCGGGCACGUGUGCCCGGAGGGAGAGUACCCGCAGACUAAGCAUCGGCUAACUCCGUGCCAGCAGCCGCGGUAAUACUGAGGAUGCGAGCGUUAGCCGGAUUUUUGGGGGUUAAAGGGUGCGUAGGCGGAUUUUUAAGUCAGCGGUAAAAUGUCCGGGCUCAACCCGGGCCGGCCGUUGAAACUGGGGAUCUUGAGUGGGCGAGAAGUAUGCGGAAUGCGUGGUGUAGCGGUGAAAUGCAUAGAUAUCACGAAGAACUCCGAUUGCGAAGGCAGCAUACCGGCGCCCGACUGACGCUGAGGCACGAAAGCGUGGGGAGCAAACAGGAUUAGAUACCCCUGUAGUC
RNAcentral lists this ribosomal RNA (460 nucleotides) under uncultured bacterium. Its description in RNAcentral is "partial 16S ribosomal RNA". It matches the Rfam family "Bacterial small subunit ribosomal RNA", at positions 338 to 795 of the family's 1533-position model. The record is from RNAcentral.